This 468-nucleotide ribosomal RNA is filed under the name uncultured bacterium. RNAcentral's name for it is "partial 16S ribosomal RNA". It matches the Rfam family "Bacterial small subunit ribosomal RNA", at positions 28 to 507 of the family's 1533-position model. The record is from RNAcentral.
GACGAACGCUGGCGGCGUGCUUAACACAUGCAAGUCGAACGGAAAGGCCCUGCUUUUGUGGGGUGCUCGAGUGGCGAACGGGUGAGUAACACGUGAGUAACCUGCCCUUGACUUUGGGAUAACUUCAGGAAACUGGGGCUAAUACCGGAUAGGAGCUCCUGCUGCAUGGUGGGGGUUGGAAAGUUUCGGCGGUUGGGGAUGGACUCGCGGCUUAUCAGCUUGUUGGUGGGGUAGUGGCUUACCAAGGCUUUGACGGGUAGCCGGCCUGAGAGGGUGACCGGCCACAUUGGGACUGAGAUACGGCCCAGACUCCUACGGUAGGCAGCAGUGGGGAAUAUUGCACAAUGGGCGGAAGCCUGAUGCAGCAACGCCGCGUGCGGGAUGACGGCCUUCGGUUUGUAAACCGCUUUCGCCUGUGACGAAGCGUGAGUGACGGUAAUGGGUAAAGAAGCACCGGCUAACUACGUG